AUGUACGUUGGUUUCUACAGUGCCUAUUUGUCCAUCAGGAAGUAUGUGAAGUUGCUGCCUGACCUGUAUAAUCGGAGAUUAUCAGAGCUGGACAGGAUCAUAAAGACUACCUGGGCACACAUGUUGUUUAUUGAAGAACUUCUGCUCCAAUGUCCUCAGCAGCGCUGCUCAAUUAUCUCUUUCUUCUUCAGUCUCUCUAAGGAGUCUCCACCAGUGGAGGAAGAUGUUGGAUGUCAGCAGCGGUGGAGCACCAUGGUGGGAGAAUCUGCUUCUCCUGGCUCCAUCAAAGGAUGCAGACCCAUGGGAACCACUCAGACUUCUCUGAGCCACAAGCCUCGAGGUCACAGAGGCAUGCAGGAAAGUGAGAGGAAGUGGAAACAUGCGAGCAGAGGGCUCAAAGCAGCGUGCUCACCACCAGAAAAAUAAAAAUAAAAAUGAACACAUUCAGAA
This 450-nucleotide long non-coding RNA is filed under the name Chinchilla lanigera (long-tailed chinchilla). Its description in RNAcentral is "lncRNA (ENSCLAG00000027462.1)". Lineage: Eukaryota; Metazoa; Chordata; Mammalia; Rodentia; Chinchillidae. The record is from RNAcentral.